GCCGCGAGGCGGAGACAAAUACCGAAAAGCCGGUCUCAGUUCGGAUUGCAGGCUGCAAUUCGCCUGCAUGAAGUCGGAAUCGCUAGUAAUCGCAGGUCAGCAUACUGCGGUGAAUACGUUCCCGGGUCUU
Molecule: ribosomal RNA, 130 nt
Filed under: uncultured Peptococcaceae bacterium
Lineage: Bacteria; Bacillati; Bacillota; Clostridia; Eubacteriales; Peptococcaceae
Description: partial 16S ribosomal RNA
Rfam family: Bacterial small subunit ribosomal RNA
Source: RNAcentral